UCCCCCUGGGAAUGGGCAAAGAGAUACCUUUUUGGUGGUGUUCAUAUAUCAGUCAGGGGCAGAGCAGUUGGCAGUCUUUUGUUCAUCUUAGCUUGAUACCUGGCUUGAUGGCCGAAACUGUUUUAUGCCUAGGUCUCAUAA
Molecule: small nucleolar RNA, 141 nt
Organism: Mus caroli (Ryukyu mouse)
Lineage: Eukaryota; Metazoa; Chordata; Mammalia; Rodentia; Muridae
Product: small nucleolar RNA SNORA48
Source: RefSeq, a predicted model, not a curated record